CGAAGGGAAACCGAGUCUUAACUGGGCGUUAAGUUGCAGGGUAUAGACCCGAAACCCGGUGAUCUAGCCAUGGGCAGGUUGAAGGUUGGGUAACACUAACUGGAGGACCGAACCGACUAAUGUUGAAAAAUUAGCGGAUGACUUGUGGCUGGGGGUGAAAGGCCAAUCAAACCGGGAGAUAGCUGGUUCUCCCCGAAAGCUAUUUAGGUAGCGCCUCGUGAACUCAUCUUCGGGGGUAGAGCACUGUUUCGGCUAGGGGGUCAUCCCGACUUACCAACCCGAUGCAAACUGCGAAUACCGAAGAAUGUUAUCACGGGAGACACACGGCGGGUGCUAACGUCCGUCGUGAAGAGGGAAACAACCCAGACCGCCAGCUAAGGUCCCAAAGUCACAGUUAAGUGGGAAACGAUGUGGGAAGGCUCAGACAGCCAGGAUGUUGGCUUAGAAGCAGCCAUCAUUUAAAGAAAGCGUAAUAGCUCACUGGUCGAGUCGGCCUGCGCGGAAGAUGUAACGGGGCUAAACUGUGCACCGAAGCUGCGGCAGCGACGCUUAUGCGUUGUUGGGUAGGGGAGCGUUCUGUAAGCCUGCGAAGGUGUCCUGUGAGGGAUGCUGGAGGUAUCAGAAGUGCGAAUGCUGACAUAAGUAACGAUAAUGCGGGUGAAAAGCCCGCUCGCCGGAAGACCAAGGGUUCCUGUCCAACGUUAAUCGGGGCAGGGUGAGUCGACCCCUAAGGCGAGGCCGAAAGGCGUAGUCGAUGGGAAACGGGUUAAUAUUCCCGUACUUGGUGUUACUGCGAAGGGGGGACGGAGAAGGCUAUGUUGGCCGGGCGACGGUUGUCCCGGUUUAAGCGUGUAGGCUGGUUUUCCAGGCAAAUCCGGAAAAUCAAG
RNAcentral lists this ribosomal RNA (887 nucleotides) under Salmonella enterica subsp. enterica serovar Kentucky. RNAcentral describes it as "partial 23S ribosomal RNA". It matches the Rfam family "Bacterial large subunit ribosomal RNA", at positions 667 to 1554 of the family's 2925-position model. The record is from RNAcentral. Lineage: Bacteria; Pseudomonadati; Pseudomonadota; Gammaproteobacteria; Enterobacterales; Enterobacteriaceae.